AAUCUUGGACAAUGGGCGAAAGCCUGAUCCAGCCAUGCCGCGUGGAUGAUGAAGGCCCUAGGGUUGUAAAAUCCUUUCGUUGGGGACGAUAAUGACGGUACCCAAAGAAGAAGCUCCGGCUAACUUCGUGCCAGCAGCCGCGGUAAUACGAAGGGGGCUAGCGUUGUUCGGAUUUACUGGGCGUAAAGCGCGUGUAGGCGGGUCGUUAAGUUGGGGGUGAAAUCCCGGAGCUCAACUCCGGAACUGCCUUCAAAACUGGCGACCUGGACCCAAGUAGAGGCAAGUGGAAUUGCGAGUGUAGAGGUGAAAUUCGUAGAUAUUCGCAGGAACACCAGUGGCGAAGGCGACUUGCUGGACUUGUGGUGACGCUGAGACGCGAAAGCGUGGGGAGCAAAC
Molecule: ribosomal RNA, 396 nt
Filed under: uncultured bacterium
Lineage: Bacteria
Description: bacterial SSU rRNA
Rfam family: Bacterial small subunit ribosomal RNA
Source: RNAcentral